Cuculus canorus (common cuckoo) is the source of this 2395-nucleotide long non-coding RNA. RefSeq lists it as uncharacterized. The transcript is spliced from 3 exons. Lineage: Eukaryota; Metazoa; Chordata; Aves; Cuculiformes; Cuculidae. The record is from RefSeq and is a predicted model, not a curated record.
UGCACAGCUGCCUGACCACAGCCACAACCCUGCAGAGCCACGCAGGCAGCGGGAAGCUGAUGCCCAGGCUGUUCCCCAAUCUCCCUCCCAGGUGAAAAUAAACACAUGUCUAGCUGUGAGCCUGCUGGACUCAUCUUCUCGCAAGCAAGUCCUCUGCAUGUGUUCUAAAGGAGGGAAACGUGCAGCUGAAAGUAUGGAGUGCACCCUGCCCUUCUGGAGCCUUCAAAAAGUUAAACAGUGAAAGGUUGCAUUGACCCUAACCAAGGGCUGUUUCUGCAUGAUCAGCUCACUCACACAGCUCCCACUCUCAUAUCCACGAGUCAUGUCGAGAGGAGAGAUGUUUCCUACCCAGAUAUUGUUACUCGUAACCCAGGCCAUCAUUGUCCUUCAUCCUUGAGGAAGACCUGUUGCACUGCAGGUUUUGCUGAGGUGCUCUCUAGUGCCUGCCUGCUGGCAUGAAGUGCUGGAGCCCUGGAGCACUGGUCUUGCCACUGGGAUUUUGGGUGCACAUACUUAUGGCUGUCAGCUUGCAGCUUCACCUCUCCGAAGUGGCCACAGACCAUUUGGUGCCCUCACUUGAUUUCACAGGCUUCAUCUUCUCAACUUUCAGUGUCAAUGUCUCAUUGAUAAGGGCUACUACACCUAAUUGCUACUGCAACUGCUAUUAGAGUUAACAGCAACCUUUGUACCCCAGAUAAGCUGGCAAAAAUGCUGAGUGUCCUCUGGCCCACAUGGCUUAGAGGAUGGCAGGGUGGUGGACUUCCUUCCGCCCCCUACCACCACCUCCACUGACUGCAUCCAAGCUUGAUCACAGGAAGAAGGCCUCCAUGUGCCAUAAGGACCAGAGAUGUCUGAGAUGGCACCUCGUGGCACCUGGAGGCUGGCAGGCUGUCCCCAGACCUUGGAGGGAUGUAGUAACACAGAGAGGGUGGCCAGACUCACUGAACACAUCUUGGCUCUUCGGGAGGUACCUGAAGGAUGCUGGUGUCCAGGACAAAUAGUACACACCUGCACUAUUAAAUGAUACACACAGGAGGGAAGCAAGCAUUACAUGCGUGCACAGAGACAUGCAUUCACUCAAAAAAUGUAAAGCUCAUAAGUCGCCUAGGUGGGACUUCAGCUAAGAGAAAAGCAGGAAAAAUUAAGGGAUGUCACCAACAAGCAAAUGCACCACAAUGAGAAUUUAGCAUGCACAAGUGAAAAAUAGCUGCUGCGUAGUUCAGAAAUAUAAAAAUAGUUUGGCUUUUCCCCUACCCUUUCCUUUCAGUCAUCACUUCUCUGCAGCCCUGGGGUUUGUUUGUGUCAGUUGCUAUGGGGAGGCUGUGCUGCCAAGCCCUUCUGGGGAAAAGUCAUUCAACUAACGAACCAACCCAGGGCUAACAGUUCUGUAAAAAUAUUAACUCAGACUUUCUCCCUCUCUCUUUGAAUAUCUGACAGCACACCUCAAUGCAAUAAAGAAUCACUGUACGACCCCUUCUCACAAACUAUUACCUGCCCUUUAAAAGAGUUGCAGUAUGUAUCAACGAAGUGGUGUUCAGCUGCUCCCUGUAACAAGUGCCAUCCCACCCAACCCAUGAGGUCACUGCUGACACCAUAUCACCACUCACAGGAAGGAGAAUAUGCCUGUGGCUAUGUCCAGCCUGGGUACCCAAGGAAACACCCUGGGCCACAUUUUGCUGCUUUGAGCUGUGAGCACACAGGUACCCCAGCCCUGCAAAAUCCACUCUGCCAAGGCAGAACACGACAGAAGAAAAGUGCCUGUUCUCCUCUGCACUCCUCGGGUGGGCUGAAGGCACAGUGCAGGAGCCAGCACGCCUCACGGGAGCAGUGACUUGCCCACACCGUAGGGCAUGGCAUUUGGCAGUGAAGUGGUGUCACUUCUAGUGCUCAUCACAUUUUCAGGAACACAAAUGCACCUCAUCUAUGCCUGAUAACAAUGUUGACAAGUAUCUGCAGGCAAGGGCUUGCAGCACCCACUUUUAGUGUUCUGGCUCUGUUCAUAGACAACUUGCAGAAAACAUGCACCUCCUUUCCAUACUCCUUCCCCUCUGCUCUGCACCCUCCCAAACAUCACCGUUUGGCCAGGUUACAGACAUGGCAGGCUCUCACUGGUCAGCAGGGUCAUACUUUAUGGAGUGCCUGCAGUCCAUCACCUCCUAAUAAAUGCAUUUUGGCACCCCCUGUAUUUGUGAGUUUAAACAUUCCUGUCUGCAAUAAACCUGUCUUGCUCGCCCCACAACUGUCUGAGCACUGUAUUUCCCUUUCCUGCAAUGUUCAAAUAUACUGUUUGGCACCUAAAGGCUUCACAUUUUUAUAACACCUUCUAUGUUUGCAGCACUGUGCAGUCAUUCAUUGCCAUCUCCCAACACCCUAGCUAGGUUGGCAAGUAAAUAUU